GAACCUAAACUAGGCAGUUACUGGAUUGAUGCUUCCAGGAUUAUAAGUGAUGUAAAUUGUAGCGCUGUUUCUUGUUAUUUAAUUGUUGUUUACUUCUUCUUCGACUGUUAUAAAUUUAAUAUGUCCUUAUAUUAUUGCUUACCAAGCUUAUGAAAUGCUAUAGAAUCGUUAACCGAGAUCUUGAUCUUCUAAUGGGCUGUUCUGCAAGAAUUAGACUUUUUGUAGAAUUAACCAUUUUGGCAUGAUAUAAUAGGAAAGGUACGCGAUCGUCCUAUCCCUGUCGCUGGGGGGAACGGCGGGUGUGUAGCAAGGGAUUCCAAGACUUCUCGCCAGGUUCGCUAGUGAGUUAGGCUGUUUGCAUCUCAGGAAGAUUUUGUAUUUUUAGUUAUUCGAAAAUGUGUAAGGAAAGUGAAUGAAUUGAAGCGUCAUUUCAGACCUAAGUUUUAGGUACUACAAGAUUGAAAAUAGGGCCAACUGGGAAUUUUUAAUUAAUUUUAGAAAAACCUUAAUUUUUGAAAAUUGCGCCUUUUGCAACAUUCCCAAUUUAUUAAUUUUCUCAUCCGAACAUAUCCGAUAUCAGUUAGAAACGAUUUUUUUCUGUUUUUUCUGUCUUUUGACUUCAACCAAAAGCUAAACACAACUAAAACUUCGACACUCCACACUCCUCACAACUCAUCAUCACAACAAUCAUCCGACACCAUUCCAGAGGGAUUACUAGUCGUGUUCAGUGUUUCGGAUUUUUUUUUUCAAAUCCAAUCCAAAUCAAAUCAAUUAAUUCCGAUCGUUAAUAAAGAUUUGUUUCGGAUUUUUGUUUCAAAUUUUGAAUUUUUUUCUAUACCACCCACCACUGUUUAGUAUUCACCCUUGCCUGUAGUCUGCACUUGAUCCUCGUACCUGGUGUGACUUUUCUUGCUGAAAAAGACCUGACACAUCUUGAACAUUUUUCUACUUUUUUCUGUUUUGUUACAUUAAACAUUUUCGUCCUCGUGUGUUAAAAAAAAACUCUUGAAAGGUAAGGAAUACUAUCAGUUAGUCGUUUUCUACACUAUGCAGCCAUAUCUUUACUUUAUCGCAACUAAAAAACUUAUAUUUUUUAUGUUAUUGUGAUUCAUGUGCUAAUAUUUUGAAUCUGCUUGGUAUAUUUUUUUGUUUUAUCUAAAUGACACGACAAUCCUGCGCCCGUGGAGGGGCUAGCCGUGAAACAGGGCUAGCUCGAGUUCAAAGCCAGAACCUAGAGCUGAUCAUGGGGAAGAUGAUAGUAAAACAGUCGAUGAAGCUGGACCAGAGUCUGAAAUUGUACCUGAAGCUGCACCUGAGACACCAAAAGACUCGGUGGGCAUGCCACGCAGCUAAUUCUUGAAGUGACCAGCUUAUCUCUGUCACUUCUUUUUAGACUGGAGAAAGACUAAGGAGCGAUUCUAUGCAAAGUGCAACCUCUGCCUUGGAAACAAGUACCACAUGGGAAUCCAGAGUUCAUUUUCCAACUUCAUUCAACACCUCCAAAUAUUCCACAAAGAAGAGAGGGAUUAUUUUGAGUCCUCUACGGAGUCAAAGCAACCAUCAGUUACGUCAUUUAUCUCACCUCGAGUUGCGAGCCGCGAAAGCAGGGGCAGCUGGAUAGGCUUCUCUGCCAGAUGAUCAUCACAGACAAUCUUCCGCUCAAUAUUGUCAGGAGGCAAGGCUUCCGAUAGCUUUGUACCCUGGUUACAAAAUACCAUCCCUAGAAAACCUCCGAAAGCUUAUCGAUUAGCUUUUUGAACGACCGAAGGCUGCAUUAAGGGACAAGCUGAAACGUGUCAAUUCAACCUCUAUUAUAAUGGACUUGUGGUCUUCCAAAACUACGCGGGAGUACACUCGCUUCCAUAAAUAUGUAGGCCACCGCCCGCGGGUUGUACCGCUUCAAAUAUACCUUUACGGAAUGUUUACUUAAGCUUGUGAAAGGAAGAAAACGGUGAAAUUCUUCAUGCGGACCAAAAACUCGCCCACCUACUCUUGCCAUUUUUAACACAGUGUAGCUUUUCAUAUUUGUAAGAAAAAUUUUAAGGAAAAAAAGCCUUGAAAUAAUAGCUUUUUUGGUUUUCAUACUCAUCCCAUCAUUAUUUUGGUUUCAUAUGUAACCCCUUCCUACUCUAUUGUCGAAUAUACCAUAAAGGCGCGCAUAAAGGUAUUUUUGAAGCGGUACAACCCGCGGGCGGUGGCCUACAUAUUUAUGGAAGCGAGUGUACCAAGGCAUAUCCUGCACGGGCGUGACGGAGGAUAACGAGCCGUUCAACGCUUUCUUAACUCUACGGCAUACGCAAGGAAGGCAUACUAGUGCAGCAAAUUUUGCCGAGUACAAGUCGGUUGUGAAGGACUGGAAUAUCAUCAACAAGUCAUUCGUGUUAUGACUGAUAUUGCAUCGAAUAUGAAGUCUGCUUUCUCUUCCAGUCUACCCAGCUGGGAGGCUGUGCCAUCUUGCGGUGGAAUGCCUUCAACGGACGACACUGACGAGUGUGACGACGAUGACGACGAUGACGACGAUGGCGACGGAUGGGUUGACUUGGAGUUGGAUAUCGACGAGGAAAUCGAGUUGUUGGUGUCGGCCGAUGGCGAGGAUCAGAAAUACAUGCAAUUAAAGUUGAAUCUUGAAGAAAUCUUUGACGAAUACUUUACGACUUCAAAAACAGACCUUCCCUCGUUUCGUGAUUCCGUUCGUCAAGUGUUGCACACACUAUUCAACUCACUGUUAAAGACGGUUUAAAAGCCUCAAAUGUAACAUCAAUUUCUUCCGCCUUAAAACUGGCCUCUAAGACUGCAAAACACUCGACAAGCAUGUUUACUUUCGGCCAGUGUUCUGUCAAAUAAGCUUCUUCGAAUAAAAUUUUCGAUUUUUAAUCAAUUGAAUUGAAUCUUGAUCCUUGAUCUUUCGAAUAAAUGAGUUUUAUUCGUAUUCGUGAUUCUCGAUCUUUUUGAUAAAAAUUAUUCGUUAUUUUAUUCAAUUGUGCGCGAAUAAAUUUUCGAAUAAUUAUCGAAUAGUUUUUACAUUUCGGGAUGCUGUUAAGUUUCGUGUAGGCGUCUGCAUGAAAGACGAAAAUUAUAGUUCGGUCUGUUUCAGUCUAUGUUCAAUCUAGUCUUUUUCACGUGGUCUUUUGGCUUGUUUUGUGAUUUUUGUGAUUUUUUCAAGGUAUUAUAAUUAUUCAUAGACGACGAAGAAGUUUUAUCUUAAUUUUUUUUAAGACAAUACUUUGAAGAGUAAUGAGUGUGAUCGUUCAGAUGCAGACUCAUCUGCAGAUGAAGUUGGGGAUUCCUGUUGGAAACGUCUCCAUUUUUCUUACUUCACAUUUUCAAAGGAAGUUAUGGUAUCUAAACCCAAAAAGAAUACUAAUAUCAGAGGUGAAUGCAAAAAGUGUAAGGCGUCAUGUUCUGGCCAACCAAUCUACUAGCAAUUGGCUAAGUCAUAUCAAGAAACGCAAAGAUUUUCAUGAUGACGACAAAGAAAGAAAGGCAGCAAAGAUAUUGUUCGCAAAAAAAACUGAAGUUUCUUCAAAGACACAAGCCGCAAGAAAUAAAAGAGAGAAAGUAAGACAGGUGAAAUUAGACUUCCCCUCUUCUAAGGCUCCUACUAAAUUUACGCAAAUAGAGCAAAAACGAGUUGAUCAGUUGAUUACGGAUUACGUAAUCAGCAAAGCGCGUCCCUUAAGCACGGUUGAUGACCCUGCUUUUAUUGCUAUGGUGCAUGGACUAAAUCCAAAGGCAAAUGUGACGGGUGCGAGAAAAUUAAGAUCCAUGGUCGAAGAAGAACGACAAAAAUUCCUAGAUAAAGUAAUUAAUGACUUGAGUUCUGCCAAAUACGUUUGUCUGAAAGCAGACAUUUGGUUCGCCUCACACCGUGGGUGGAUCGGCAUUACUGCUCAUUGGCUCGACUCAAAAGAAUUAAGAAAUUCAAGAUUAGAGAAAAGGUUUGCUGCAUUGUUACGGAUAAUGGAGCAAACAUUAAGA
Molecule: long non-coding RNA, 3978 nt
Organism: Daphnia magna
Lineage: Eukaryota; Metazoa; Arthropoda; Branchiopoda; Diplostraca; Daphniidae
Exons: 5
Source: RefSeq, a predicted model, not a curated record